Molecule: ribosomal RNA, 468 nt
Filed under: uncultured bacterium
Lineage: Bacteria
Description: partial 16S ribosomal RNA
Rfam family: Bacterial small subunit ribosomal RNA
Source: RNAcentral
GACGAACGCUGGCGGCGUGCUUAACACAUGCAAGUCGAACGGAAAGGCCCUGCUUUUGUGGGGUGCUCGAGUUGCGAACGGGUGAGUAACACGUGAGUAACCUGCCCUUUACUUUGGGAUAACUUCAGGAAACUGGGGCUAAUACCUGAUAGUAGCUCCUGCUGCAUGGUGGGGGUUGGAAAGUUUCGGCGGUUGGGGAUGUAGUCGCGGCUUAUCAGCUUGUUGGUGGGGUAGUGGCUUACCAAGGCUUUGACGGGUAGCCGGCCUGAGAGGGUGACCGGCGACAUUGGGACUGAGAUACGGCCCAGAAGCCUACGGGAGGCAGCAGUGGGGAAUAUUGCACAAUGGGCGGAAGCCUGAUGCAGCAACGCCGCGUGCGGGAUGACGGCCUUCGGGUUGUAAACAGCUUUCGCCUGUGACGAAGCGUGAGUGGCGGUAAUGGGUAAAGAAGCACCGGCUAACUACGUG